Styela clava is the source of this 1077-nucleotide non-coding RNA. NCBI's taxonomy places the organism in Eukaryota, Metazoa, Chordata, Ascidiacea, Stolidobranchia, Styelidae. The record is from RefSeq and is a predicted model, not a curated record.
AGAAACCAGAUCAUACAUGACCAGCCAGUGAAUUAUUUGACUGAGCUCCAGUGGUAGGCACAAACUCAUCUGGUAGGCACAAACUCAUCUCUAGUGGGAUUGUCAAGUAAUGGCUACAUUCUGAAUAUACAGUGUGGUGUAGACUGUAGAGCAUAAACUGUGGAGGUUAGGAAAUAGCAUUACAAAAAUGGUCGAAUCAUUAAUGAAAUAUAUUCCAAAUGCUGAGGAAUACUUCUGGGGACUGUGGAUCAGAUCAAGUAUUCUGAUGACAAUGACAAGGCAUGCAAAAUAGAUGUUGAUAGCACAACAAGUCAAGGUACUGAUAGUGAGGUGGUGCUACGAAGAAAGAAAGACUCUUUGACGCUUGGCCCAAGAUUAUUCAUGUGACUAUUCAAAGCUGGACCUAUUUUAGAUGCAAGCUUAGGACCGACUUCCAAAAAAUGUUGGUUCAGUGUACAACAAAUGGCAUUUCCAUCAGUAAUUCUCUUACCAUCCACUAUAAUAUGAGAUGGCAGCUUGUUUUUCUUAGAGGAGUUGCCAAUUAUUUCACGAAUGUGAAUCCAUGUUUUUGCCAUAUCUUUUUGGCAGCUAGAAAGAACGGUUUUAUAAUAUUCUUGUUUAGCCUUUGCAAGAUUCCUAUAUAAUUUAUUCCUAUAUUUUUUAUAUUCUCUUAUCUUUACUUGAGAUUUGCUUUUACAACACAUUUUAUGUUUGGUUUUAAUGGACUUGUAAAGAUCCUUCGAGAUCCAGUGUUUAAGCUUAAGUUUACAUUCAUUUAAAUUGCUUUGGAGAGGAAUGUGCUGGUCUACCACAGACUUUAUUGAAUUCAAAAGUGAAUUAAAUUUUUUGUUGAUGUCAUAGGAAAAUGAGAGAUCUUUUUCGAUUACAAGACUCAAAUGGUCAACAAAAUUUUCAGGAUUAUAAUUACUAUAGUCACGUCUACGUGUUUUAAUUUGGUACCUCUGGCAUGCUAGAUGUAUGUGAGCCAGGACAGGAAAAUGAUCAGAAAUGUCAUAUUUUAUAAUACUAGUAAUUGUUUUAUAUUCUACUCUAUUGAAAUAAAAAUGGUCUAAUAAA